UGCCCGACUCCCCCGCCCCAAGGUGCUCGGCCUCAAGCAGGACCAUCCCACCGAGCCGCCGACCAACGCUUGCAACCCACAACCCGGACCCCCGCCAACCCAGAGAACCAACCCCGGGCCGGACCCUGACCCCGGCGACCCCCAGUUCCCCAGCCCCUUAGCCCCCGAGCCCCGGCCUGGGGGCGUGGCCCGUCCCAGGUCACCCAGGCAACUUGGAGGUCGGGAGCCGCGCAGCGCGCAUGCUCAGCCUGCGGCGCCUCGAGGGCUCGGGGCAGGGCAGAGGGGCGGGGCCGUUGCUGGGCUCGGGCGGAGGGGCCCGGGCUCUUAGCACAGGGGUCUGUCUGUACACUGAAAGAGGAGUGGGACACUGGUAGGGGGCAGGCGCUGGCUGGGAAGGGGACGGAGGCCCCAGGGAAAAAGAACUAGUCCCUGAUGGGCAGCCGGCGCUUGCUUCUGCUCUGAGCCUGCAGUGGGCCCAAUGGUUGGACUCCAGACCAAGCAGGAGAAGUGAAGACCGAGCUUCCAGAGCAGGUUCCAUGAACCAAGGGAGGACUGUCAAGUGUCCCGCGCAGGAUCUGUGGUCCAGAGGAGCGGAGGCAGGGCCGACCCUGCCAUGCCGUGGUGGCAGUAACCAGUCAGUCUUGUGUCAUUUCCUUGCUUCUCCAGCUGUGGACAAGGCAGUCAGCUAUACUGCACUGGGAAGACCAGGCAGAGCCAUCUUGACUGCUGUGGCUGCCUUUGAGGGGGAGGGGGGGGCUCCAGGUUGCCCUGAGGCAUUUCCAGGAUGGUCAUGAGCAGGCCAGAGUCACCAACACUUAAGUCCCACACACUUCGAAGGACAAUCUACUCUUACUUCCUUUUGCAGAAAAGCCAAGCAACAAGAUGCAAAAAGAUGACAAUUCAUCCAAAAGGAGCAAUGCAAAUUAACAUUCCUUCUAUCAGGAGGGUGAAUAUUUACAGACACUGGUGCAGCUUUGGGAGGCCUG
RNAcentral lists this long non-coding RNA (986 nucleotides) under Marmota monax (woodchuck). Lineage: Eukaryota; Metazoa; Chordata; Mammalia; Rodentia; Sciuridae. The record is from RNAcentral.